RNAcentral lists this ribosomal RNA (174 nucleotides) under Agaricales sp. RNAcentral's name for it is "partial large subunit ribosomal RNA". It matches the Rfam family "Eukaryotic large subunit ribosomal RNA", at positions 99 to 261 of the family's 3401-position model. The record is from RNAcentral. Lineage: Eukaryota; Fungi; Basidiomycota; Agaricomycetes; Agaricales.
CGGCAACAGCUCAAAUUUGAAAUCUGGCCUCUUUCGGGGUCCGAGUUGUAAUUUGUAGAGGAUGUUUUGGGUACCGCGCUGGACCAUAUACAAGUCCUCUGGAAUGGGGUGUCAUAGAGGGUGAGAAUCCCGUCUUUGAUAUGGACUACCAGUGCUUUGUGGUGCGCUCUCGAA